Molecule: ribosomal RNA, 884 nt
Filed under: Priestia endophytica
Lineage: Bacteria; Bacillati; Bacillota; Bacilli; Caryophanales; Bacillaceae
Description: bacterial SSU rRNA
Rfam family: Bacterial small subunit ribosomal RNA
Source: RNAcentral
AGUCGAGCGGAGUUUUGAAAAGCUUGCUUUUCAAAACUUAGCGGCGGACGGGUGAGUAACACGUGGGCAACCUGCCCUUGAGACGGGGAUAACUCCGGGAAACCGGAGCUAAUACCGGAUAACACAUAUCUUCGCAUGAGGAUAUGUUAGAAGGUGGCUUUUAGCUACCACUCAAGGAUGGGCCCGCGGCGCAUUAGCUAGUUGGUGAGGUAACGGCUCACCAAGGCGACGAUGCGUAGCCGACCUGAGAGGGUGAUCGGCCACACUGGGACUGAGACACGGCCCAGACUCCUACGGGAGGCAGCAGUAGGGAAUCUUCCGCAAUGGACGAAAGUCUGACGGAGCAACGCCGCGUGAGUGAUGAAGGUUUUCGGAUCGUAAAGCUCUGUUGUUAGGGAAGAACAAGUAUCUGUUGAAUAAGCAGGUACCUUGACGGUACCUAACCAGAAAGCCACGGCUAACUACGUGCCAGCAGCCGCGGUAAUACGUAGGUGGCAAGCGUUGUCCGGAAUUAUUGGGCGUAAAGCGCGCGCAGGCGGUUCCUUAAGUCUGAUGUGAAAGCCCACGGCUCAACCGUGGAGGGUCAUUGGAAACUGGGGAACUUGAGUGCAGAAGAGGAGAGCGGAAUUCCACGUGUAGCGGUGAAAUGCGUAGAGAUGUGGAGGAACACCAGUGGCGAAGGCGGCUCUCUGGUCUGUAACUGACGCUGAGGCGCGAAAGCGUGGGGAGCGAACAGGAUUAGAUACCCUGGUAGUCCACGCCGUAAACGAUGAGUGCUAAGUGUUAGAGGGUUUCCGCUCUUUAGUGCUGCAGCAAACGCAUUAAGCACUCCGCCUGGGGAGUACGGUCGCAAGACUGAAACUCAAAGGAAUUGACGGGGACCC